RNAcentral lists this ribosomal RNA (1316 nucleotides) under uncultured bacterium. RNAcentral describes it as "partial 16S ribosomal RNA". It matches the Rfam family "Bacterial small subunit ribosomal RNA", at positions 97 to 1409 of the family's 1533-position model. The record is from RNAcentral.
GGCGGACGGGUGAGUAAUGCCUAGGAAUCUGCCUGGUAGUGGGGGAUAACGUCCGGAAACGGGCGCUAAUACCGCAUACGUCCUGAGGGAGAAAGUGGGGGAUCUUCGGACCUCACGCUAUCAGAUGAGCCUAGGUCGGAUUAGCUAGUUGGUGGGGUAAAGGCCUACCAAGGCGACGAUCCGUAACUGGUCUGAGAGGAUGAUCAGUCACACUGGAACUGAGACACGGUCCAGACUCCUACGGGAGGCAGCAGUGGGGAAUAUUGGACAAUGGGCGAAAGCCUGAUCCAGCCAUGCCGCGUGUGUGAAGAAGGUCUUCGGAUUGUAAAGCACUUUAAGUUGGGAGGAAGGGCAGUAAGUUAAUACCUUGCUGUUUUGACGUUACCAACAGAAUAAGCACCGGCUAACUUCGUGCCAGCAGCCGCGGUAAUACGAAGGGUGCAAGCGUUAAUCGGAAUUACUGGGCGUAAAGCGCGCGUAGGUGGUUCAGCAAGUUGGAUGUGAAAUCCCCGGGCUCAACCUGGGAACUGCAUCCAAAACUACUGAGCUAGAGUACGGUAGAGGGUGGUGGAAUUUCCUGUGUAGCGGUGAAAUGCGUAGAUAUAGGAAGGAACACCAGUGGCGAAGGCGACCACCUGGACUGAUACUGACACUGAGGUGCGAAAGCGUGGGGAGCAAACAGGAUUAGAUACCCUGGUAGUCCACGCCGUAAACGAUGUCGACUAGCCGUUGGGAUCCUUGAGAUCUUAGUGGCGCAGCUAACGCGAUAAGUCGACCGCCUGGGGAGUACGGCCGCAAGGUUAAAACUCAAAUGAAUUGACGGGGGCCCGCACAAGCGGUGGAGCAUGUGGUUUAAUUCGAUGCAACACGAAGAACCUUACCUACUCUUGACAUCCAAAGAACCAUAUAGAGAUAUAUGGGUGCCUUCGGGAACUUUGAGACAGGUGCUGCAUGGCUGUCGUCAGCUCGUGUUGUGAAAUGUUGGGUUAAGUCCCGCAACGAGCGCAACCCUUAUCCUUUGUUGCCAUCGAGUAAAGUCGGGAACUCAAAGGAGACUGCCGGUGAUAAACCGGAGGAAGGUGAGGAUGACGUCAAGUCAUCAUGGCCCUUAUGAGUAGGGCUACGAACGUGCUACAAUGGCGUAUACAAAGAGAAGCGAUCUUGCGAAAGUUAGCAAACCUCAUAAAGUACGUCUUAGUCCGGAUUGGAGUCUGCAACUCGACUCCAUGAAGUCGGAAUCGCUAGUGAUCGUGGAUCAGAAUGUCACGGUGAAUACGUUCCCGGGCCUUGUACACACCGCCCGUCACACCAUGGAA